RNAcentral lists this ribosomal RNA (497 nucleotides) under uncultured bacterium. Its description in RNAcentral is "partial 16S ribosomal RNA". It matches the Rfam family "Bacterial small subunit ribosomal RNA", at positions 28 to 507 of the family's 1533-position model. The record is from RNAcentral.
GAUGAACGCUGGCGGCGUGCCUAAUACAUGCAAGUCGAGCGAACGGACGAGAAGCUUGCUUCUCUGAUGUUAGCGGCGUACGGGUGAGUAACACGUGGAUAACCUACCUAUAAGACUGGGAUAACUUCGGGAAAUCGGAGCUAAUACCGGAUAAUGUUUUGAACCGCAUGGUUCAAAAGUGAAAGACGGUAUUGCUGCUACUUAUAGAUGGAUCCGCGCUGCAUUAGCUAGUUGGUAAGGUAACGGCUUACCAAGGCAACGAUGCAUAGCCGACCUGAGAGGGUGAUCGGCCACACUGGAACUGAGACACGGUCCAGACUCCUACGGGAGGCAGCAGUAGGGAAUCUUCCGCAAUGGGCGAAAGCCUGACGGAGCAACGCCGCGUGAGUGAUGAAGGUCUUCGGAUCGUAAAACUCUGCUAUUAGGGAAGAACAUAUGUGUAAGUAACUGUGCACAUCUUGACGGUACCUAAUCAGAAAGCCACGGCUAACUACGUG